CACCGGAGGCUCGAGUGGUGGCCACUUUUAUUGGGUCUAAAGCGUCCGUAGCCGGCUUGGCAAGUCCCCUGGGAAAUCUGGCGGCUUAACCGUCAGGCGUCCAGAGGAUACUGCCAGGCUUGGGACCGGGAGAGGUGAGAGGUACCUCAGGGGUAGGGGUGAAAUCUUGUGAUCCCUGAGGGACCACCAGUGGCGAAGGCGUCUCACUAGAACGGGUCCGACGGUCAGGGACGAAAGCUGGGGGCACGAACCGU
This 254-nucleotide ribosomal RNA is filed under the name uncultured microorganism. Its description in RNAcentral is "partial 16S ribosomal RNA". It matches the Rfam family "Archaeal small subunit ribosomal RNA", at positions 474 to 727 of the family's 1478-position model. The record is from RNAcentral.